CACAAAUUACUGCAACAGUUACAAUCCAAACACUGUGUUUUCAUCAUCUUUUUAGAAGCAAAGCCCACCUUCUUGGCUCCAAGCAGCACAGGUAGCACAGUUCGACUGGGGCAGCUCCUAGGAGAACUUGCUAAAUAGUGAGAAAGAGACUGCAGUGGAACCUCUCUGAAGACAUUGCUAUCAAAUCUAUGUGGACCUUGUGGCCUCCUCCUCCUUACUGACAUAUAUAUUGUUUCCUUACAGAACCAGCACUAUCACCAGAAGGUCUGUUGGAAGCUUCUGUUACCUCUGAAAUGGCAGUCUCCUUUUGACCCACCCCUCGAAGCAGUUUCCUCUGCACACCAUGUACAGUACUUCAAAAGUGGAGCUGACCCAGUUCAUUCUGACCAUGCAGGACUGCUGGGGAAAGACAAGAAGACUCUUCAGACAGAGGUGUGUGGUUCAUUUACACAAAGAUAUUCAGGGAAAAUCCU
Vombatus ursinus (common wombat) is the source of this 473-nucleotide long non-coding RNA. Lineage: Eukaryota; Metazoa; Chordata; Mammalia; Diprotodontia; Vombatidae. The record is from Ensembl.